AGAGUUUGAUCCUGGCUCAGAAUCAACGCUGGCGGCGUGCCUAACACAUGCAAGUCGAAUGAGAAAGAGGGGGCAACUCCUUGAGUAAAGUGGCGACCGGGUGAGUAACACGUGACUAACCUACCCUAGAGUGGGGGAUAACCUUCCGAAAGGAGGGCUAAUACCGCAUAAACUCGCGAGGUGAAAAUCCUCGUGAGCAAAGGAGCAAUUCGCUCAUGGAGGGGGUCGCGGCUGAUUAGCUAGUUGGUGAGGUAACGGCUCACCAAGGCGAUGAUCAGUAUCCGGCCUGAGAGGGCGCACGGACACACUGGAACUGAAACACGGUCCAGACUCCUACGGGAGGCAGCAGUGGGGAAUUUUGCGCAAUGGGGGAAACCCUGACGCAGCAACGCCGCGUGGAGGAUGAAGGUCUUUGGAUUGUAAACUCCUUUCGAUCGGGACGAUUAUGACGGUACCGGAAGAAGAAGCACCGGCUAACUCUGUGCCAGCAGCCGCGGUAAUAC
Molecule: ribosomal RNA, 503 nt
Filed under: uncultured bacterium
Lineage: Bacteria
Description: bacterial SSU rRNA
Rfam family: Bacterial small subunit ribosomal RNA
Source: RNAcentral